CGCACAUUGCGCCCCUUGGUAUUCCGGGGGGCAUGCCCGUUCGAGCGUCAUUUCACCACUCAAACAUCAGUUUGGUAUUGAGCCCCGGGGGUGACCCGGGCUCCAAAGUUGUCGGCCGGACAGUCCGUAUCGCAGCGUCGUGAUUUAUUUUCGCUGACGAGAAGGACAAUCCGCGCCGUGAAAAUCUAUUUCACAGGUUGACCUCGGAUCGGGUAGGGAUACCCGCUGAACUUAA
RNAcentral lists this unclassified non-coding RNA (235 nucleotides) under Mycosphaerellaceae sp. Its description in RNAcentral is "partial contains 5.8S ribosomal RNA, internal transcribed spacer 2, and large subunit ribosomal RNA". Lineage: Eukaryota; Fungi; Ascomycota; Dothideomycetes; Mycosphaerellales; Mycosphaerellaceae. The record is from RNAcentral.